GUAGCGCACCACCUACUUUGCCUGCCGCAAAUAAAAUGAAGAAGACGACCAAUAAGCGGGGAAGCGGGUGGCUAAGAAGCAUGCCACCUCAGAAACCUUUAAAGAGUACAAGAAUCUUAACAAACUGCAGGAGAAGGUUCCAGAGUCUCCUAUACCACCACAUUAGCAGUCAGAUAAGCACCAGCUCACAGCUCAAGCCCACCUCUCAACCUUCAGACAGUUGGGAGUGGAGAAACUGAAUGGUGUUUAGGUAAAUCUUGUUUCGAAUACAUUUUUGUUGUUCCUUUAGGCCAUCUCCACACCUAGCUGGGUAUUUAAAAAAAUAUUUAGAGAUUAAAGAGAUUUUUCUAAUUCUGUCCACAAGACCGACAUUUUAAAAAUAUCUUUGUCCACAUGAAAAACAAACAAAACGCCCUGUUAAGUGCUGUUAAGAGCAUCCCUAAUCAACAGGGGGCCGAUCAGAAGCCUAGAUAAAAGGUUGUGCUUUGUAGAAGUCCAACAGGACUGUGUCAUCAGAGUUUUGUAUGUAGCAGUAGUAAAGCUGACGUCAAAUUAGGGAGACUAGCACACAGACAAUGACAUCAUUGCCACACAAGGUGAUGUUACAACAAGCCAAAAUCUUCAUUUCCCCUGUCCACAUAACACAACUAAAAACAAAGUUUUAAAAAACCUUAACUUUGGAAUAGUUUUUAAAAUGACUCCGCUUUUAAUGACCAAAACUUUGUUUGCAUGUGGAUGAAAGGCCGAAACUGCAGGUAAAAAUCUCUGUUUUAAAAAUACACAGUUACAGUAUGUGUAGACAUGGCUUUAGAUACUAAGCAACUCCAGGACCUGCAGUCUUUGGACAAACUUGUUGGACAUCCACCAACAAGAAGACUGAUGUAGUGAGAAAAAACAUGCAGGCAUUUACCUGUUCCUGUCCCCCCUUACAUACAGCAAGCAACUAAUUUUCCCCUAAAAAAUUUUUCAUCUCCUUUUUGACUGAUUCUUUUCACUGGUAGAUUGUAACAAUGCUGUGGCCUUUUUUAUAACUCCUGUAUAACUCAUAUUUGGGAUAAGCAGGUGUGACAUAAUACCUUUCUCAAGUUGUGUGACAUUGUGUAUCACUAUCAUUUAGUGUCUUGAUUUGCCAGAUUUUUCUGAUGUCUGUUAUAUUGUGUGAAUUACUCAAUAUAAUUGUUUAUUGUAUUUUAUUUUUACAUACGGGCUGGAUCUACAAACUAUUGGUAAUAUUAAACUGUAAUAUUUUUAAUAUUGUUAACCUGCUGGUUUUAAAGAGGUGGACAGGUCAGUAUGCACACUGGUCUCAGGUGUUGCUAGUUGUGGCUCAUCACUGUACG
This is a long non-coding RNA of Clarias gariepinus (North African catfish), 1340 nucleotides long. RefSeq lists it as uncharacterized. The record is from RefSeq and is a predicted model, not a curated record. The transcript is spliced from 3 exons. NCBI's taxonomy places the organism in Eukaryota, Metazoa, Chordata, Actinopteri, Siluriformes, Clariidae.